UCGUCAGGUGGGAUAAUCCUUACCUGUUACUCCGUAUGGAGAACAGAUGAGAAAAUGAUGAUUGGAGUUUGCAUGAUACGUGAUUAUACGUCUCUGCGUAAUCAGGACUGGCAACACCCUGAUUGCUCCUAUCUGAU
This 137-nucleotide small nucleolar RNA is filed under the name Propithecus coquereli (Coquerel's sifaka). RNAcentral's name for it is "U8 small nucleolar RNA (ENSPCOG00000002074.1)". It matches the Rfam family "U8 small nucleolar RNA". Rfam says of the family: U8 is a member of the C/D class of snoRNA which contain the C (UGAUGA) and D (CUGA) box motifs. U8 is the RNA component of a small complex (the U8 snoRNP) which is required for accumulation of mature large subunit ribosomal RNAs, 5.8S and 28S rRNAs. U8 RNA has been identified in human, mouse, rat and Xenopus. Lineage: Eukaryota; Metazoa; Chordata; Mammalia; Primates; Indriidae. The record is from Rfam by way of RNAcentral.